Long non-coding RNA from Ornithodoros turicata, 439 nucleotides. RefSeq lists it as uncharacterized. NCBI's taxonomy places the organism in Eukaryota, Metazoa, Arthropoda, Arachnida, Ixodida, Argasidae. The record is from RefSeq and is a predicted model, not a curated record. The transcript is spliced from 3 exons.
UAUAAGGCGCGCAAAAAUAAACAUGCUGUGUGGCAGGUGCAGCGCUGUCACGAUUUGUAAGCAAGUACUCGCCCGUGUCAGUUCCGCUGAUCCUGCUCCAACUGUCAUUAUGCCGAACCUAGUCCUCACCUUUCAUCUAGGAGUGUCCCUUCUCCUUUGCGGUCAUGUCAAGACUGCAAACGAUGCUACUACCAUGUCUCUGUGUUGUCUACACGAAGUGAAUUAUGGCGUGUGCAUGUUCGAGCACCACAGAUUCUACUACGACUACGACAAGAAGGUGUGCAAGAACUUCACCUAUGGGGGUUGCUAUGGAAACUGCAAUAAUUUUCCUACAGAGGAGGACUGCAUGGAAGAGUGUCAUCCAGGGCCAAAGUAACAGGGCUACAGCUUAUGAUCCAGACAUCAUGGCAUGAGCAGCAUUAAAGCUUCCUGUGGCGUA